CGUUAUCCGGAUUUAUUGGGUUUAAAGGGAGCGUAGAUGGAUGUUUAAGUCAGUUGUGAAAGUUUGCGGCUCAACCGUAAAAUUGCAGUUGAUACUGGAUAUCUUGAGUGCAGUUGAGGCAGGCGGAAUUCGUGGUGUAGCGGUGAAAUGCUUAGAUAUCACGAAGAACUCCGAUUGCGAAGGCAGCCUUGCUAAGCUGCAACUGACAUUGAGGCUCGAAAGUGUGGGUAUCAAACAGGAUUAGAUACCCUGGUAGUCCACACGGUAAACGAUGAAUACUCGCUGUUUGCGAUAUACAGCAAGCGGCCAAGCGAAAGCGUUAAGUAUUCCACCUGGGGAGUACGCCGGCAACGGUGAAACUCAAAGGAAUUGACGGGGGCCCGCACAAGCGGAGGAACAUGUGGUUUAAUUCGAUGAUACGCGAGGAACCUUACCCGGGCUUAAAUUGCAGAUGAAUUACGGUGAAAGCCGUAAGCCGCAAGGCAUCUGUGAAGGUGCUGCAUGGUUGUCGUCAGCUCGUGCCGUGAGGUGUCGGCUUAAGUGCCAUAACGAGCGCAACCCUUGUUGUCAGUUACUAACAGGUUCUGCUGAGGACUCUGACAAGACUGCCAUCGUAAGAUGUGAGGAAGGUGGGGAUGACGUCAAAUCAGCACGGCCCUUACGUCCGGGGCUACACACGUGUUACAAUGGGGGGUACAGAGGGCCGCUACCACACGAGUGGAUGCCAAUCCCAAAAACCUCUCUCAGUUCGGACUGGAGUCUGCAACCCGACUCCACGAAGCUGGAUUCGCUAGUAAUCGCGCAUCAGCCACGGCGCGGUGAAUACGUUCCCGGGCCUUGUACACACCGCCCGUCAAGCCAUGGGAGCCGGGGGUACCUGAAGUGCGUAACCGCGAGGAGCGCCCUAGGGUAAAACUGGUGACUGGGGCUAAGUCGUAACAAGG
This 944-nucleotide ribosomal RNA is filed under the name uncultured bacterium. RNAcentral's name for it is "bacterial SSU rRNA". It matches the Rfam family "Bacterial small subunit ribosomal RNA", at positions 539 to 1496 of the family's 1533-position model. The record is from RNAcentral.